GACGAACGCUGGCGGCGUGCUUAACACAUGCAAGUCGAACGGAAAGGCCCUGCUUUUGUGGGGUGCUCGAGUGGCGAACGGGUGAGUAACACGUGAGUAACCUGCCCUUGACUUUGUGAUAACUUCAGGAAACUGGGGCUAAUACCGGAUAGGAGCUCCUGCUGCAUGUUGGGGGUUGGAAAGUUUCGGCGGUUGGGGAUGGACUCGCGGCUUAUCAGCUUGUUGGUGGGGUAGUGGCUUACCAAGGCUUUGACGGGUAGCCGGCCUGAGAGGGUGACCGGCCACAUUGGGACUGAGAUACGGCCCAGACUCCUACGGGAGGCAGCAGUGGGGAAUAUUGCACAAUGGGCGGAAGCCUGAUGCAGAAACGCCGCGUGCGGGAUGACGGCCUUCGGGUUGUAAACCGAUUUCGCCUGUGACGAAGCGUGAGUGACGGUAAUGGGUAAAGAAGCACCGGCUAACUACGUG
This 468-nucleotide ribosomal RNA is filed under the name uncultured bacterium. RNAcentral describes it as "partial 16S ribosomal RNA". It matches the Rfam family "Bacterial small subunit ribosomal RNA", at positions 28 to 507 of the family's 1533-position model. The record is from RNAcentral.